UACGUAGGGGGCUAGCGUUGUCCGGAAUCAUUGGGCGUAAAGAGCGUGUAGGCGGUCCGGUAAGUCCGCUGUGAAAGUCCAGGGCUCAACCCUGGGAUGCGGGUGGAUACUGCCGGGCUCGAGUCCGGAAGAGGCGAGUGGAAUUCCCGGUGUAGCGGUGAAAUGCGCAGAUAUCGGGAGGAACACCAAUGGCGAAGGCAGCUCGCUGGGACGUGACUGACGCUGAGACGCGAAAGCGUGGGGAGCAAACAGG
This 253-nucleotide ribosomal RNA is filed under the name uncultured bacterium. Its description in RNAcentral is "partial 16S ribosomal RNA". It matches the Rfam family "Bacterial small subunit ribosomal RNA", at positions 524 to 776 of the family's 1533-position model. The record is from RNAcentral.